UGGCUGUCGUCAGCUCGUGUCGUGAGAUGUUGGGUUAAGUCCCGCAACGAGCGCAACCCUCGCCAUUAAUUGCCAUCAUUAAGUUGGGCACUUUAAUGGGACUGCCGGUGAUAAACCGGAGGAAGGUGGGGAUGACGUCAAGUCCUCAUGGCCCUUAUGGGUAGGGCUUCACACGUAAUACAAUGGUCGGUACAGAGGGUUGCCAAGCCGCGAGGUGGAGCCAAUCCCAGAAAGCCGAUCGUAGUCCGGAUUGGAGUCUGCAACUCGACUCCAUGAAGUCGGAAUCGCUAGUAAUCGCGGAUCAGCAUGUCGCGGUGAAUACGUUCCCGGGUCUUGUACACACCGCCCGUCACACCAUGGGAGUGGAAUCUGGCAGAAGUAGGUAGCCUAACCGCAAGGGGGGCGCUUACCACGCUGGGUUUCAUGACUGGG
This 432-nucleotide ribosomal RNA is filed under the name uncultured bacterium. Its description in RNAcentral is "bacterial SSU rRNA". It matches the Rfam family "Bacterial small subunit ribosomal RNA", at positions 1046 to 1479 of the family's 1533-position model. The record is from RNAcentral.